AGGACAUCUGAAGUGAAUCAAAGGUUUACCGCUAAGGGAUGGGGAUGCGUCUGAUUAGGCAGCAGGCGGGGUAACGGCCCACCUGGCCGACGAUCAGUAGGGGUUCUGAGAGGAAGGUCCCCCACAUUGGAACUGAGACACGGUCCAAACUCCUACGGGAGGCAGCAGUGAGGAAUAUUGGUCAAUGGUCGAGAGACUGGACCAGCCAAGUAGCGUGCAGGAUGACGGCCCUAUGGGUUGUAAACUGCUUUUAUGCGGGGAUAAAGUGAGGGACGUGUCCCUUUUUGUAGGUACCGCAUGAAUAAGGACCGGCUAAUUCCGUGCCAGCAGCCGCGGUAAUACGGAAGGUCCGGGCGUUAUCCGGAUUUAUUGGGUUUAAAGGGAGCGCAGGCGGAGGCUUAAGCGUGACGUGAAAUGUAGCCGCUCAACGGCUGAGUUGCGUCGCGAACUGGGUUUCUUGAGUGAGUGCGACGUCAGCGGAAUUCGUGGUGUAGCGGUGAAAUGCUUAGAUAUCACGAAGAACCCCGAUUGCGAAGGCAGCUGACGAGCCCUUUACUGACGCUAAAGCUCGAAGGUGCGG
RNAcentral lists this ribosomal RNA (580 nucleotides) under uncultured rumen bacterium. RNAcentral describes it as "bacterial SSU rRNA". It matches the Rfam family "Bacterial small subunit ribosomal RNA", at positions 185 to 764 of the family's 1533-position model. The record is from RNAcentral.